RNAcentral lists this ribosomal RNA (565 nucleotides) under Panulirus japonicus (Japanese spiny lobster). RNAcentral describes it as "partial 16S rRNA". It matches the Rfam family "Bacterial large subunit ribosomal RNA", at positions 1796 to 2617 of the family's 2925-position model. Lineage: Eukaryota; Metazoa; Arthropoda; Malacostraca; Decapoda; Palinuridae. The record is from RNAcentral.
UCGCCUGUUUAUCAAAAACAUGUCUUUAUGAAUUUCAUGUAAAGUCUAGCCUGCCCAGUGACAUUAAAGUUUAACGGCCGCGGUAGCAUGACCGUGCUAAGGUAGCAUAAUCAUUUGUCCUUUAAUUGAGGACUGGUAUGAACGGCUGAACAAGAAAUCAACUGUCUCUGCUAUAAAUUUUGAAAUUGACAUUUAAGUGAAAAGGCUUAAAUGAGAUAGGGGGACGAUAAGACCCUAUAAAUCUUGAUGAUUAAGAUAAUAAAUUUUAGGCAGUAGUAAUAAGUUUAAAUUUAAUGUCUUAAUUAUUUUGUUGGGGCGACAGGAGUAUAAGAAGUAACUGCUUUGAAAAAAUAAUUAAUUAUUUUUAUGAUGUUUUGUUUGUGAUCCUUCUAUGAAGAUAAUAGAUCAAGUUACUUUAGGGAUAACAGCGUAAUCUUUCUUGAGAGUCCAUAUCGAAAGAAGGGGUUGCGACCUCGAUGUUGAAUUAAAGAGCCUUUGUGGUGUAGCAGCUAUUGUAAGGAGGUCUGUUCGACCUUUAAAUCUUUACAUGAUCUGAGUUCAAACC